GAUGAAGAACGUAGCGAAAUGCGAUAAGUAAUGCGAAUUGCAGAUUUCAGUGAGUCAUCGAAUCUUUGAACGCACAUUGCACCUCUCGGUAUUCCGGGAGGUAUGCCUGUUCGAGCGUCAUUUGUACCCUCAAGCUCUGCUUGGUGUUGGGUGUUUGUUCCGCCUCUGUGUGUGAACUCGCCUCAAAACAAUUGGCAGCCGGCGUACUUGUUUCGGAGCGCAGCACAUUUUGCGAUCCAGAUCAACGUACAGCGGCAUCCAAGAAGCCUUAUUUAACGCUCUUGACCUCGGAUCAGGUAGGGAUACCCGCUGAACUUAAGCAUAUCAAUAAGCGGAGGA
Molecule: unclassified non-coding RNA, 339 nt
Filed under: soil metagenome
Description: partial contains 5.8S ribosomal RNA, internal transcribed spacer 2, and large subunit ribosomal RNA
Rfam family: 5.8S ribosomal RNA (bases 1-120)
Source: RNAcentral